AUUGAACGCUGGCGGCAGGCUUAACACAUGCAAGUCGAACGGCAGCACGGGAGCAAUCCUGGUGGCGAGUGGCGAACGGGUGAGUAAAGUAUCGGAACGUGCCCAGUCGUGGGGGAUAACGUAGCGAAAGUUACGCUAAUACCGCAUACGAUCUACGGAUGAAAGCGGGGGAUCGCAAGACCUCGCGCGAUUGGAGCGGCUGAUAUCAGAUUAGGUAGUUGGUGGGGUAAAGGCUCACCAAGCCGACGAUCUGUAGCUGGUCUGAGAGGACGACCAGCCACACUGGGACUGAGACACGGCCCAGACUCCUACGGGAGGCAGCAGUGGGGAAUUUUGGACAAUGGGCGCAAGCCUGAUUCAGCCAUGCCGCGUGCAGGAUGAAGGCCUUCGGGUUGUAAACUGCUUUUGUACGGAACGAAAAGGUUUGGCCUAAUAAGCUGGACCCAUGACGGUACCGUAAGAAUAAGCACCGGCUAACUACGUGCCAGCAGCCGCCGUAA
RNAcentral lists this ribosomal RNA (500 nucleotides) under uncultured bacterium. Its description in RNAcentral is "partial 16S ribosomal RNA". It matches the Rfam family "Bacterial small subunit ribosomal RNA", at positions 30 to 523 of the family's 1533-position model. The record is from RNAcentral.